GGGCGUUAAGUUGCAGGGUAUAGACCCGAAACCCGGUGAUCUAGCCAUGGGCAGGUUGAAGGUUGGGUAACACUAACUGGAGGACCGAACCGACUAAUGUUGAAAAAUUAGCGGAUGACUUGUGGCUGGGGGUGAAAGGCCAAUCAAACCGGGAGAUAGCUGGUUCUCCCCGAAAGCUAUUUAGGUAGCGCCUCGUGAAUUCAUCUCCGGGGGUAGAGCACUGUUUCGGCAAGGGGGUCAUCCCGACUUACCAACCCGAUGCAAACUGCGAAUACCGGAGAAUGUUAUCACGGGAGACACACGGCGGGUGCUAACGUCCGUCGUGAAGAGGGAAACAACCCAGACCGCCAGCUAAGGUCCCAAAGUCAUGGUUAAGUGGGAAACGAUGUGGGAAGGCCCAGACAGCCAGGAUGUUGGCUUAGAAGCAGCCAUCAUUUAAAGAAAGCGUAAUAGCUCACUGGUCGAGUCGGCCUGCGCGGAAGAUGUAACGGGGCUAAACCAUGCACCGAAGCUGCGGCAGCGACGCUUAUGCGUUGUUGGGUA
RNAcentral lists this ribosomal RNA (543 nucleotides) under Escherichia coli. Its description in RNAcentral is "partial 23S ribosomal RNA". It matches the Rfam family "Bacterial large subunit ribosomal RNA", at positions 690 to 1230 of the family's 2925-position model. RNAcentral also lists the same sequence under 2 other names. Lineage: Bacteria; Pseudomonadati; Pseudomonadota; Gammaproteobacteria; Enterobacterales; Enterobacteriaceae. The record is from RNAcentral.